RNAcentral lists this ribosomal RNA (464 nucleotides) under uncultured bacterium. Its description in RNAcentral is "partial 16S ribosomal RNA". It matches the Rfam family "Bacterial small subunit ribosomal RNA", at positions 28 to 507 of the family's 1533-position model. The record is from RNAcentral.
GACGAACGCUGGCGGCGUGCUUAACACAUGCAAGUCGAACGGUAAGGCCCUUUCGGGGGUACACUAGUGGCGAACGGGUGAGUAACACGUGGGUGAUCUUCCCUGCACUUUUUGAUAAGCCUGGGAACCUGGGGCUAAUACCGGAUAUGACUACUCGAUGCAUCUCGUGUGGUGGAAAGCUCUUGCGGUGUUGGAUGGGCCCGCGGCCUAUCAGCUUGUUGGUGGGGUGAUGGCGUACCAAGGCGACGACGGGUAGCCGGCCUGAGAGGGUGUCCGGCCACACUGGGACUGAGAGACGGCCCAGACUCCUACGGGAGGCAGCAGUGGGGAAUAUUGCACAAUGGGCGCAAGCCUGAUGCAGCGACGCCGCGUGGGGGAUGACGGCCUGCGGGUUGUAAACCCCUUUCAGCACAGACGAAGCGUAAGUGACGGUAUGUGCAGAAGAAGCACCGGCUAACUACGUG